RNAcentral lists this ribosomal RNA (449 nucleotides) under uncultured bacterium. RNAcentral describes it as "bacterial SSU rRNA". It matches the Rfam family "Bacterial small subunit ribosomal RNA", at positions 28 to 490 of the family's 1533-position model. The record is from RNAcentral.
GACGAACGCUGGCGGCGUGCUUAACACAUGCAAGUCGAGCGGUAAGGCCCUUUCGGGGGUACACGAGCGGCGAACGGGUGAGUAACACGUGGGUGACCUGCCCUCAGCUCUGGGAUAAGCCUGGGAAACCGGGUCUAAUAACCGGAUAUGACUCCAUGACGCAUGUUGUGGGGUGGAAAGCCUUGUGCGGCUGAGGAUGGGCCCGCGGCCUAUCAGCUUGUUGGUGGGGUGAUGGCCUACCAAGGCGACGACGGGUAGCCGGCCUGAGAGGGCGACCGGCCACACUGGGACUGAGACACGGCCCAGACUCCUACGGGAGGCAGCAGUGGGGAAUCUUGCGCAAUGGGCGAAAGCCUGACGCAGCGACGCCGCGUGAGGGAUGACGGCCUUUGGGUUGUAAACCUCUUUCAGCUCCGACGAAGCGAGAGUGACGGUAGGAGCAGAAGAAG